CCUACGGGUGGCAGCAGUGAGGAAUAUUGGUCAAUGGGCGGGAGCCUGAACCAGCCAAGUCGCGUGAAGGAAGAAGGUGCUGAGUAUUGUAAACUUCUUUUGUCGGGGAACAAAGGCGGAGACGAGUCUCCGGAUGAGUGUACCCGAAGAAAAAGAAUCGUCUAACUCCGUGCCAGCAGCCGCGGUAAUACGGAGGAAGCGAGCGUUAUCCGGAUUUAUUGGGUUUAAAGGGUGCGGAGGCGGGUGAUCAAGUCAGCGGUAAAAUGUCGGGGCUCAACCCCGGCCGGCCGUUGAAACUGGUUUUCUAGCGUUGGCGAGAAGUAUGCGGAAUUCGUGGUGUAGCGGUGAUAUGCAUAGAUCUCACGAAGAACUCCGAUUGCGAAGGCAGCAUACCGGCUCCAUACUGACGCUGAGGUACGAAAGCGUGGGUAUCGAACAGGAUUAGAUACCCUGGUAGUC
This 459-nucleotide ribosomal RNA is filed under the name uncultured bacterium. Its description in RNAcentral is "partial 16S ribosomal RNA". It matches the Rfam family "Bacterial small subunit ribosomal RNA", at positions 338 to 795 of the family's 1533-position model. The record is from RNAcentral.